CAGGAAGAAGGCAAGAAUGUGAGGAUUUUACAGACCGAUGAAUUGAAGUGAACACAAACUUCACAGCUCUGACCUUUUAAAGCGUCAGUCAUACUGGGAGCAUUGGCAUGGAACAGUGAUUUUGAUUUGUGCUAUGAUCAGAAACACCGAGAGACUCCAUUCUGCACUUUGUCACCCCUCUUGCCAGCGCAAUUUUGGAAAGCCAGGGAUCUGUUCUGCUUCAAGCUCUUCGCAAAGAUGAACCCCAAGGCCCACAUCUCACUGCAUCCGAAUGAACUUUCCCUUUUGAGUACAACAGGGAAGUAAAGCAGAUGAGGAAACCCAACAGAAGUUUCCACGUUAGUGGUUCAAGUGCUUAGAUGGUUGCUGUUUUCCCAAGACCAUCGUUCUCAUUAUAAACAGUUGACUCAGAAACAUUACAACAGAUUUCAAACAAAGCGUUCCCUCCCCAUCCCCUGCUGCUCUCUUCCCAAUACACAGAAAUGCUUAAAGCAAACCAGAUGUGCUGCACAAGGAUAUUCUGUGAUAAAAUCCUCAGACGGUUCUCACUCUCCCAGUCUGUACUCCAGCGUUAGAAGUGGCCAGUUCAUUUCCCUAAGCUAUUAUGCAAAAUAGUCUGACAGACUAAGGUGCUGGAGAGAUGAUUUUCCUUCUCUAAUGUGACUUUCACACUCUCCCGAUGAUAUACAACUUUAAUAAAAAACAUUAGAAGAAAGUUCAGCUAAGUUGGGCAUGUGGCACACAACUCAGUCCAAUUCUCCCCUCAGGCACUAAUUCAAAACAUAUCCAAAAAUGCUGAUAAUCAUCCAGUGUGCUGAGAGCCUGGGGAAAACGCACAGAAGUUCAUGUGCUGGAAGGUCAUGAACAGGCAAUGCCAUUUUGGGUAAGAAUUCCCAAGCAAACUUCAUCUCCAGCACAAAGGUGAGAUGCAUUUGACUCAGCUGAUAAGAAGGCAUGAGAUAAUACCAGUUGGGUCUUCGGUGGAACUCUUCAUCCUUUAAACUCUUAGGUUCUUGCACCUUGCUUUGCUAGUUCACUGAAGAAACAGCUAUCAGGACUCAACAUAUUGGACUCUUUCCUACUUCAGGAGGCUGCCAGAGCAGAUAUUCCCGUAACAAGGCUCACCUUGGUUCUGAGAUCUGAGACAGCUUAUAAAGUGCUGUGAGACCCUUCAGAGUGAUUCUAGCUGAAACCGCACACUUUGUGCUGUACUCCCUGCAAACAGACUAUGAGGGAGAAUCUCAGCCCUUGAGAUCUUGCAGCUAAUCAGAAAAAAAAAAUAAGGAAGGAAAGGAAAAAAAAAAAAGUUGAUGAGAAACAAAGGCAAGGAGAACAGGACACACCAGCACCAAAAAGAGCCCAUCACCUUACCCCCAAAUUCACCAGGCUGCUGCUCCUCAGUACCUCCAUCAGUACUCGAAACAUCAGGACACAGCUGAAGACAAAAAUUAACCUUGAUGAUUUCCUAAUACUAAUCAUAGAGGGACAAAGUGCUGGGUUUUAUUCUUUUGGGAAAGGUAUUUUUCUUUAGAAGCAGCAUUUUCCACUACGAAUAUCAUUAGAAAAGCAGAAUGAAAGGAUGGAAGUCAGCGAGCCAACUUCUUCAGUUAUAACCCCGGGAAGAUUAAUAGCUAGGCUCAUUGUCCUAGGCUCCACAAAGAGAAAUGGGCUGGAUAAGCUCUGACUUAUUGCCUUAUCCUCCCAUUGCCUUUCAGAACAAUUUUUCCUGGCUUUGUCCAAAUAGACUGAUAUGACAUGGAAAAAUUACUUUUUUCUUUGAACGUUUUGUGUAAGAUUCUUCAAAUCUGGCUUAAAAGCAGAGUAGAGGGGAAAAAAAAAAUCCAUCCUUCAAAGAAUAGAAGUCAAUCCCUGAAUCCAGCCUGUUCUGGGUACACAGGCUGUAGAAGGUUACAGACGGCCAGCAUAAUAUACAAAAUCUCCCUACAACACUAAUCUGUGCCUAGCAAUUCAAUGAGAUAAAAAUUUGAUAACACGUUGGCUGGCUGUGAUUGCCCAGGGAAAAACAUCUCCUUCAUAAUAAUCUUAUUAUAGGCUAGUAGAGCUAUUUUUGUGCCUAUUCUUUGUGCAGAACAAUUUAUUUUUAUGGCUAGUAAAAGGAAAUAAAUUUCUCGGAAAUGGCUCCUCAGUGAA
Molecule: long non-coding RNA, 2151 nt
Organism: Rhea pennata
Lineage: Eukaryota; Metazoa; Chordata; Aves; Rheiformes; Rheidae
Exons: 3
Source: RefSeq, a predicted model, not a curated record